Molecule: ribosomal RNA, 323 nt
Filed under: uncultured eukaryote
Lineage: Eukaryota
Description: partial 18S ribosomal RNA
Rfam family: Eukaryotic small subunit ribosomal RNA
Source: RNAcentral
CCCUUAGAUGUCCUGGGCAGCACGCGUGCUACAAUGAUGCAUUCAACGAGUCUUGCCUUAACCGAAAGGUUCGGGUAAACUUUUGAAAUUGCAUCUUGUCGGGGCUUGAUCAUUGUAAUUUUUGAUCACAAACAAGGAAUUCCUUGUAAAUGUGAGUCAUCAACUUGCAUUGAAUACGUCCCUGCCCUUUGUACACACCGCCCGUCGCUUCUACCGAUGAAUGAUCCGGUGAACACUCUGGACUUGUUGUCUGUCGGAGUAAUCCAAAGACGAUAGGGAAGUUGUGUAAACCUUAUCAUUUAGAGGAAGAAGAAGUCGUAACA